RNAcentral lists this transfer RNA (68 nucleotides) under Loxodonta africana (African savanna elephant). It matches the Rfam family "tRNA". From Rfam's summary of the family: Transfer RNA (tRNA) molecules are approximately 80 nucleotides in length. Their secondary structure includes four short double-helical elements and three loops (D, anti-codon, and T loops). The record is from Rfam by way of RNAcentral. Lineage: Eukaryota; Metazoa; Chordata; Mammalia; Proboscidea; Elephantidae.
GCAUUGGUGAUUCAGUGGUAGAAUUCCCCUUCCAUGGAGGUGACCUGGGUUCGAUUCUAGCCAAUGCC